AGCGGAGUUCUUCGGAACAAAGCUAGCGGCGGACGGCUGUGUAACACGUGGGCAACCUGCCUCAUAGAGGGGAAUAGCCUCCCGAAAGGGAGAUUAAUACCGCAUAAGAUUGUAGCUUCGCAUGAAGUAGCAAUUAAAGGAGCAAUCCGCUAUGAGAUGGGCCCGCGGCGCAUUAGCUAGUUGGUGAGGUAACGGCUCACCAAGGCGACGAUGCGUAGCCGACCUGAGAGGGUGAUCGGCCACAUUGGGACUGAGACACGGCCCAGACUCCUACGGGAGGCAGCAGUGGGGAAUAUUGCACAAUGGGGGAAACCCUGAUGCAGCAAUGCCGCGUGAGUGAUGACGGCCUUCGGGUUGUAAAGCUCUGUCUUCGGGGACGAUAAUGACGGUACCCGAGGAGGAAGCCACGGCUAACUACGUGCCAGCAGCCGCGGUAAUACGUAGGUGGCAAGCGUUGUCCGGAUUUACUGGGCGUAAAGGGAGCGUAGGCGGAUUCUUAAGUGAGAUGUGAAAUACCCGGGCUUAACUUGGGUGCUGCAUUUCAAACUGGAAGUCUAGAGUGCAGGAGAGGAGAAGGGAAUUCCUAGUGUAGCGGUGAAAUGCGUAGAGAUUAGGAAGAACACCAGUGGCGAAGGCGCUUCUCUGGACUGUAACUGACGCUGAGGCUCGAAAGCGUGGGGAGC
This 683-nucleotide ribosomal RNA is filed under the name uncultured bacterium. RNAcentral's name for it is "bacterial SSU rRNA". It matches the Rfam family "Bacterial small subunit ribosomal RNA", at positions 65 to 769 of the family's 1533-position model. The record is from RNAcentral.